Molecule: ribosomal RNA, 479 nt
Filed under: uncultured bacterium
Lineage: Bacteria
Description: partial 16S ribosomal RNA
Rfam family: Bacterial small subunit ribosomal RNA
Source: RNAcentral
GAUGAACGCUGGCGGCGUGCUUAACACAUGCAAGUCGAACGAGAAAUGUAGACGGAAACCUUCGGGCGGAAGCCUUCAUUUCGAGUGGCGGACGGGUGAGUAACGCGUGGGUAACCUGCCUCAUACAGGGGGAUAACAGUUGGAAACGACUGUUAAUACCGCAUAAGACCACAGCAUCGCAUGAUGCGGGGGUAAAAACUCCGGUGGUAUGAGAUGGACCCGCGUUCGAUUAGCCAGUUGGCGGGGUAACGGCCCACCAAAGCGACGAUCGAUAGCCGAUCUGAGAGGAUGACCGGCCACAUUGGGACUGAGACACGGCCCAAACUCCUACGGGAGGCAGCAGUGGGGAAUAUUGCACAAUGGGGGAAACCCUGAUGCAGCGACGCCGCGUGAGUGAAGAAGUACUUCGGUAUGUAAAGCUCUAUCAGCAGGGAAGAAAAUGACGGUACCUGAGUAAGAAGCCCCGGCUAACUACGUGC